Felis catus (domestic cat) is the source of this 1419-nucleotide long non-coding RNA. RefSeq lists it as uncharacterized. The transcript has 3 exons. NCBI's taxonomy places the organism in Eukaryota, Metazoa, Chordata, Mammalia, Carnivora, Felidae. The record is from RefSeq and is a predicted model, not a curated record.
CCCCACAUCACUCAGCGACAGGACCGAGGCCUUCAGCUCCUGCUGGGGCGAUGGGCAGGGCCCCACCCCCUUCCUCCCAGGGCACCGGAGCCAGUGGCUGCGCGGGUGGGUCAGCCUGGAAGACCCGGGGCGGGAGAGAGGAGCCGGCCCAGGACGUGUCCCCAGCGGCUGGACGAGAGGCUGUGUGCUCGGGCCCCGACGCCAACUCGGAAACACUGCCGAGGUCCCUGCCUUCGGCCUCUCGGGAUUGGUCACGGGAAGUGGGCGCUGGCUUCUCGGCUCGCCCUGCCACAGGCUCGGGACACCCUUCUGCCCACAGGAGCAGCAGCUCAAGACGCCUGAGCCCCAGGAGUCCCGGGCCUGCUUCCCGGGCCCUGCACUCCCAGGGCUGCCCCCCAGCCUGGCCCACCUGCAGUGGGCGUCCUGUCACCUCGACGACCCCGGCCGGCGGAGUGGUGGAGAGGGUGUGGACUCUGCAGCCGGCUGGCUCUGAGCUGGGCAUGGUCCCCCGGAGCAGAGCUCCUUCAAAUCCCCGCUCCGCCCCCAGCCAGCUGAGUAACCUCGGGCGACCAGAGACCCCACCCUGCCCCUGCCCCCCCCGGGGAUUGUGAGCAGCUGGUGAGUUCACUCCAGCAGGGGGCGCUGAGUGGGGCGGCCGGGUGGCUGAGCGGGUUACAAAGACUUCGUUUUCAGGACGCCCCGAGGAAGCAAAAGGCAGAAUGGAGGGCCUCCUGCCUGUCCGGGGGAAGCAGAGAGGCCUGGACAAGGCUGCGGAGGGGCAGGGCGGCAGGGCACAGGGCGAGGUCCUGAGCCCAGCAGGGCCCUGUCGCGGUGGACAUGCCCCCACCCCCCAUCCCGCCAGCAGGGUGAGAAGACCCACCCCAGGGACGGGACCAGCCUGCACUGCGGGGUGCUGUCCCUUCUCUCCCGUCUGGCUUCUCCUGAGCUCGGGACGAGGGGCAGAAGGCGCGCCUCUCAGGGCACAGAGCCCGCGGGACCCCAGAUCCAGCCUUUGGCCCCGGGGCCCUCGACCACACCUGGCGGCCUAGACCGAGGGCGUGCCUCCGCGUACCUGCGUGGCCGGGUCCCCCUGCCGGUGGCACCGUAGCCACCCUCCCGCUCUGCCGCGUCCGCCUGGUGGGGAGUCCCGCCCUGCCUGGGCCUGCCUGCUCCCCGGCUGCACAACCGAGGAGACUCCCAGAGACAGCUCAGCAGAACCCCCCGCAGCCCUGCCAACAGACCCCACCGACACUGCGGCCGUGUCCCCCGCCAGGCGCUCAGGCCCUCAUCACUCUCCCCCAGCAUCCCCCCAACUUUCUAGCCCUGAUCCCUAAAGGGCAGAGGGAGGGGCUCUCUGAGCAGAAAUAGGUCGUAAGCAGUUUCCCUCCUCAGGAAGCAGCUAUUUCAUAAAUACGAUGG